UUUCCGUAGGUGAACCUGCGGAAGGAUCAUUACAAUGUUCGGGGCGCAAGCCCCCGGUGCUAAACACACCAAACCCCUUGUGAAACGCCCUGGUACUUCGGCAGCUCCCUCGCGGGGUCAGUCUGCCGGCGGGAAACUCUUUGCAAAAUUAGUAUGUCUGAACAAAAACUUUAAUGUUAAAACUUUCAACAACGGAUCUCUUGGUUCCCGCAUCGAUGAAGAACGCAGC
RNAcentral lists this unclassified non-coding RNA (229 nucleotides) under uncultured fungus. RNAcentral's name for it is "sequence contains ITS1, 5.8S rRNA gene". The stretch from base 181 to 229 matches the Rfam family "5.8S ribosomal RNA", at positions 1 to 49 of the family's 154-position model. The record is from RNAcentral. Lineage: Eukaryota; Fungi.